This 254-nucleotide ribosomal RNA is filed under the name uncultured bacterium. RNAcentral's name for it is "partial 16S ribosomal RNA". It matches the Rfam family "Bacterial small subunit ribosomal RNA", at positions 524 to 776 of the family's 1533-position model. The record is from RNAcentral.
UACGUAGGGUGCGAGCGUUGUCCGGAAUUAUUGGGCGUAAAGAGCUCGUAGGCGGUGUGUCACGUCGUUCGUGAAAACCUGCAGCUUAACUGUGGGCGUGCGGUCGAUACGGGCAUCACUGGAGUUCGGCAGGGGAGACUGGAAUUCCUGGUGUAGCAGUGAAAUGCGUAGAUAUCAGGAGGAAUACCGAUGGCGAAGGCAGGUCUCUGGGCUGACACUGACGCUCAUGCACGAAAGCGUGGGGAGCAAACAGG